RNAcentral lists this transfer RNA (76 nucleotides) under Cronartium ribicola 11-2. Its description in RNAcentral is "tRNA-Ala (AGC) (tRNA-Ala-AGC-4-1)". It matches the Rfam family "tRNA". Rfam says of the family: Transfer RNA (tRNA) molecules are approximately 80 nucleotides in length. Their secondary structure includes four short double-helical elements and three loops (D, anti-codon, and T loops). The record is from RNAcentral. Lineage: Eukaryota; Fungi; Basidiomycota; Pucciniomycetes; Pucciniales; Coleosporiaceae.
GACUGGAUAGCCUAGUGGUCAAAGGCAGCGCAUCUAGCAUAUGCUGAGGUCCCAGGUUCAAAUCCUGGUCUAGUAA